GUAGAGACGGGGUUUCACCGAGUUAGCCAGGAUGGUCUCGAUCUUCUGACCUUUUGUAAUCCGCCCGCCUGGGCCUACCAAAGUGCUGGGUUUACAGGUGUGAGCCACCACGCCCGACCAAUACCUUCUCUCUCUUUUAUAGCGGAUGUGAUGCUGGUACAACCCAGAGUAGAAUUUAUUCUGUCUUUCAUUGACCACAUUGCUGGAGAUGAGGAUCAUACAGAUGGAGUAGUAGCUUGUGCUGCUGGACUAAUAGGGGACUUAUGUACAGCAUUUGGGAAGGAUGUACUGAAAUUAGUAGAAGCUAGGCCAAUGAUCCAUGAAUUGUUAACUGAAGGGCGGAGAUCGAAGACUAACAAAGCAAAAACCCUUGCUACAUGGGCAACAAAAGAACUGAGGAAACUGAAGAACCAAGCUUGAUCUGUUACCAUUGGGAUGAUAACCUGAGGACCCCCACUGGAAAUCUCCAAUCUUUUGAAAAACCUGGAAGUGAGGAGUGUGCACGGAUGCUGAAUGUUUGGGAAUGAGAGGAUGAGUGAGUGAGGCUUGAAAACACACCACAUUGAAAAUCCUGCCACAGCAGCAGCCGCAGCCGCCAACAGCAG
RNAcentral lists this small RNA (605 nucleotides) under Pongo abelii (Sumatran orangutan). RNAcentral's name for it is "retained intron". The record is from RNAcentral. Lineage: Eukaryota; Metazoa; Chordata; Mammalia; Primates; Hominidae.